Molecule: ribosomal RNA, 253 nt
Filed under: uncultured bacterium
Lineage: Bacteria
Description: partial 16S ribosomal RNA
Rfam family: Bacterial small subunit ribosomal RNA
Source: RNAcentral
UACGUAGGGUGCGAGCGUUAAUCGGAAUUACUGGGCGUAAAGUGUGCGCAGGCGGCCGAGCAAGUCGAGCGUGAAAGCCCCGAGCUUAACUUGGGAACUGCGCUCGAAACUACUUGGCUAGAGUGUGGCAGAGGGAGGUGGAAUUCCACGUGUAGCGGUGAAAUGCGUAGAGAUGUGGAGGAACACCGAUGGCGAAGGCAGCCUCCUGGGCCAACACUGACGCUCAUGCACGAAAGCGUGGGGAGCAAACAGG